AACUAUUUAGUAUACAAGUAUAGGCAAUUUCCAAUUGUCAGGGAAUAUAGUUA
Molecule: transfer RNA, 53 nt
Filed under: Southwellina hispida
Lineage: Eukaryota; Metazoa; Acanthocephala; Palaeacanthocephala; Polymorphida; Polymorphidae
Description: tRNA-Gly
Source: RNAcentral